RNAcentral lists this transfer RNA (69 nucleotides) under Ictidomys tridecemlineatus (thirteen-lined ground squirrel). Its description in RNAcentral is "Spermophilus tridecemlineatus (thirteen-lined ground squirrel) tRNA". It matches the Rfam family "tRNA". From Rfam's summary of the family: Transfer RNA (tRNA) molecules are approximately 80 nucleotides in length. Their secondary structure includes four short double-helical elements and three loops (D, anti-codon, and T loops). Lineage: Eukaryota; Metazoa; Chordata; Mammalia; Rodentia; Sciuridae. The record is from Rfam by way of RNAcentral.
GGGAUUGUGGCUCUGUGGCAGAGCGCUUCCCUCACAAGUAUGAGGCACUGAGUUCGAUCCUCAGCACCA